UGCGGAAGGAUCAUUACCUAGAGUUGUAGGCUUUGCCUACCAUCUCUUACCCAUGUCUUUUGAGUACCUUCGUUUCCUCGGCGGGUCCGCCCGCCGAUUGGACAAACUUAAACCCUUUGUAAUUGAAAUCAGCGUCUGAAAAAACAUAAUAGUUACAACUUUCAACAACGGAUCUCUUGGUUCUGGCAUCGAUGAAGAACGCAGCGAAAUGCGAUAAGUAGUGUGAAUUGCAGAAUUCAGUGAAUCAUCGAAUCUUUGAACGCACAUUGCGCCCCUUGGUAUUCCAUGGGGCAUGCCUGUUCGAGCGUCAUUUGUACCUUCAAGCUCUGCUUGGUGUUGGGUGUUUGUCUCGCCUUUGCGUGUAGACUCGCCUUAAAACAAUUGGCAGCCGGCGUAUUGAUUUCGGAGCGCAGUACAUCUCGCGCUUUGCACUCAUAACGACGACGUCCAAAAAGUACUUUUUACACUCUUGACCUCGGAUCAGGUAGGGAUACCCGCUGAACUUAAGCAUAUC
RNAcentral lists this ribosomal RNA (514 nucleotides) under Phoma sp. PHY-20. RNAcentral describes it as "eukaryotic LSU rRNA". The stretch from base 157 to 310 matches the Rfam family "5.8S ribosomal RNA". Lineage: Eukaryota; Fungi; Ascomycota; Dothideomycetes; Pleosporales; Didymellaceae. The record is from RNAcentral.